Molecule: long non-coding RNA, 1161 nt
Filed under: Sinocyclocheilus grahami
Lineage: Eukaryota; Metazoa; Chordata; Actinopteri; Cypriniformes; Cyprinidae
Description: lncRNA (ENSSGRG00000048817.1)
Source: RNAcentral
GUGGUUAUAGGGGUCGUAAGAGAUGCGCCUCUCCGCUUUAACCAGUCGGGGGCGACAAAACCCAAGAAUCAGACUCGAUAACAUCAGCCAUUGUUACCAUGAAUUUCCUGCGCUGGAUGUGCCUGGCGUGGCUAGGGAAGGAGGGAAGGAAGGGAGGGAGGGAUGGAGGAGGAGAGCGCAGGCACUGCGGGAAGAAUAGAGAAACCUGAACCCCAUUCGCACUGGGGAAAAGAGAGGGACACACGCCGUGUUAUUAUUAUAGAAGCGGCCAUUACAUUGAGCAGCACGGAUGGAAAAAAUAUAAUAUAGCGGGUACCGGCGCAUCGACAAAGGAAUACAAGAAGCACUGCCCGGAUACCGUUUCACUGAGGCCUCAUAUCUGCUUUCGGAAGAAGCCGAACGGACCGCCCACCGCACAGAGACACACACAUACUGGAGAAGCGCACACAUAUAAACCCAAUCACCGGCCCGCACGCGCUACAGUGGACUUUAAAUACGAUAACCGCUGGGAUUCUGAUCUACACCAAUGAAAGAUGGGUUUAUAUAGUAGCACAUCUAGAUUUAAUCCGAUUCAGAUGUUUAACCGUCAUAUAUGAUAAGGGAUAUUUACUCUAAACAUAGAUAUUUACGUAUUGUUAUUUAUCUAAUCUUUUUAUGACGGCACGUUUAUAGGAACCGCCGGUCCUAAGUCGCUUUAUAUGACUCGAUUUAUUUAAUUCAUCGCGUUUACGAUCAUCAAAUAUAAUAUAAUACGCUUUAGACGCAUAUUGAAGCUGGAAUAAGUCUUUAUCCACUGUGGAUAUUUAACGCAAACGGAACUUGACAGCUGUUGUCUGACGACCGGGAUCCACCGUCCUGGAUUACUCUAUCGGCGGGCCGCUGUAAGUCGGCCAGCGGGAGUGAGAGGCGCUAUGGCCGGCUACAUCCCGGGCUUACUGCCGGCGAAUCACUCCCAGGAGAAGGAGUUCGCACAGGCGUAUGAGGAUGUGCUGGAGAGAUAUAAAGGUAAGACAGAUCUCCUACAUGGCACAUGUGCAUUCACAUUUAAGCCCUGAAUGGUUUCUGUGGGGAAAGCAAUUUCACUUAAUUGUUGGUUGGUUUGUUUUCCUGUUGUUUGUACAUAUGUUUGACCAAUCCAUUAGAUCCACUUUGGUAACUCAC